RNAcentral lists this ribosomal RNA (457 nucleotides) under Lactobacillus delbrueckii. Its description in RNAcentral is "bacterial SSU rRNA". It matches the Rfam family "Bacterial small subunit ribosomal RNA", at positions 343 to 793 of the family's 1533-position model. The record is from RNAcentral. Lineage: Bacteria; Bacillati; Bacillota; Bacilli; Lactobacillales; Lactobacillaceae.
GGGAGGCAGCAGUAGGGAAUCUUCCACAAUGGACGCAAGUCUGAUGGAGCACGCCGCGUGAGUGAAGAAGGUUUUCGGAUCGUAAAGCUCUGUUGUUGGUGAAGAAGGAUAGAGGCAGUAACUGGUCUUUAUUUGACGGUAAUCAACCAGAAAGUCACGGCUAACUACGUGCCAGCAGCCGCGGUAAUACGUAGGUGGCAAGCGUUGUCCGGAUUUAUUGGGCGUAAAGCGAGCGCAGGCGGAAUGAUAAGUCUGAUGUGAAAGCCCACGGCUCAACCGUGGAACUGCAUCGGAAACUGUCAUUCUUGAGUGCAGAAGAGGAGAGUGGAAUUCCAUGUGUAGCGGUGGAAUGCGUAGAUAUAUGGAAGAACACCAGUGGCGAAGGCGGCUCUCUGGUCUGCAACUGACGCUGAGGCUCGAAAGCAUGGGUAGCGAACAGGAUUAGAUACCCUGGUAG